GUGUAAUAGCUUUAUUUCAAACAGAAACUUGGAAACGAUAUUUGAUUGUCUCAUAACAUAAAGUAAUUUCUAUCUCCUGAGGGGUCAGUCGAAGAUAUUUGUUGGAAAAUAAGAUCAAAUUACAAGUCAUCACAAUAUACACAUCAUCAUGAUUAUGGAAACAAAAUCCGGCACAUUGUAAAUUUUAUACAAGGAGGCAGAUGUGAUCUGUACAGCUUGUGUCUGGUCAACAGAAAGUAGUCGGGAUGGUACCAAGAAGGUAGUCGGGAUGGUACCAAGAAGGUAGUCGAGAUGGUACCAAGAAGGUAGUCGGGAUGGUACCAAGAAGGUAGUCGGGAUGGUACCAAGAAAGUAGUCGGGAUGGUAC
Haliotis rubra (blacklip abalone) is the source of this 367-nucleotide long non-coding RNA. RefSeq lists it as uncharacterized. NCBI's taxonomy places the organism in Eukaryota, Metazoa, Mollusca, Gastropoda, Lepetellida, Haliotidae. The record is from RefSeq and is a predicted model, not a curated record. The transcript has 2 exons.